Molecule: ribosomal RNA, 397 nt
Filed under: uncultured bacterium
Lineage: Bacteria
Description: partial 16S ribosomal RNA
Rfam family: Bacterial small subunit ribosomal RNA
Source: RNAcentral
AUACGUAGGGGGCAAGCGUUAUCCGGAUUUACUGGGUGUAAAGGGAGCGUAGACGGAAUGGCAAGUCUGAUGUGAAAGGCCGGGGCUCAACCCCGGGACUGCAUUGGAAACUGUCAGGCUAGAGUGCAGGAGGGGUAAGCGGAAUUCCUAGUGUAGCGGUGAAAUGCGUAGAUAUUAGGAGGAACACCGGUGGCGAAGGCGGCUUCCCGGACUGCACCUGACGUUGAGGUCUCAAAGCGUGGGGAGAAACCAGGAAUUGUUCCCCUAGGAGUCCACGCCGUAAACGAUGAAUACUAGGUGUUGGGUUCCAAUAGGGAUUCGGUGCCGCAGCUAACGCAAUAAGUAUUCCACCUGGGGAGUACGUUCGCAAGAAUGAAACUCAAAUGAAUUGACGUGG